This 411-nucleotide ribosomal RNA is filed under the name uncultured bacterium. RNAcentral describes it as "bacterial SSU rRNA". It matches the Rfam family "Bacterial small subunit ribosomal RNA", at positions 362 to 770 of the family's 1533-position model. The record is from RNAcentral.
UAUUGGUCAAUGGGCGAGAGCCUGAACCAGCCAAGUCGCGUGAAGGAUGACGGCCCUACGGGUUGUAAACUUCUUUUGUCAGGGAGCAAUUGGGUCCACGCGUGGGCUUAGCGAGAGUACCUGAAGAAAAAGCAUCGGCUAACUCCGUGCCUGCAGCCGCGGUAAUACGGAGGAUGCGAGCGUUAUCCGGAUUUAUUGGGUUUAAAGGGUGCGUAGGCGGAGUGUCAAGUCAGCGGUAAAGUUUCGGGGCUCAACCCCGUCGUGCCGUUGAAACUGACACUCUUGAGUGAGUGAGAAGUAAGCGGAAUGCGUGGUGUAGCGGUGAAAUGCAUAGAUAUCACGCAGAACGCCGAUUGCGAAGGCAGCUUACCGGCGCUCAACUGACGCUGAGGCACGAAAGUGCGGGUAUCG